GGGCCUGAGAAAUGCUGAUCCAGUGCUCCCGGUAGCUGUAGGCACCUCUGGCACAGCCCUGACUUCACAAAAAGGACUUCACCAAAGUGGAGGGAGUGAGUGAUCCUGUAACUCCUGGUGCAGGCCCUGCCGUGACCACAGCAAUGCAGGAUCCCAGCCGCAUCUGCAACCUACACCACAGCUCACAGCAAUGCCAGAUCCUUAACCCACUGAGCAAGGCCAGGGAUCAAACCCGCAACCUCAUAUUUCCUAGUCAGAUUCGUUAACUGCUGCACCACGACAGGAACUCCCCAAAAAGAAAUUUAAUGAGAAGAGUAGCAAUGUUUUAUAUUUUUGCCAAUCUUUUAAUUCUUGAAUUUUCUUAAGAAAAUUAGCUAGAUACUUACAUCUUCUGCUUUAUCGUGUGAUGGUUUUGGCUGAAGUAAUGGAGAAAAUCCAGCCUCCCAUAGUUAUAGUUAGAAAGGAAAGAAUUAUUAGACUUUACAGAUAACAUUCUCCUUUGAAACUGUUCCCAGGUUCAACAGGAAAUAAUUUCUUAGGGUUAUUGCAAUGUAGAAUCUGAAACCACAUCAGAGUACUUUUUUGUACUCUGUUACAUGAAAAUACUUGGGUCUGUCCUGUACUUUGAGUCUUUUAUCCAUUCAGGGUUUUGUGAAAUUAUGCAUUGUUCAUUUAGAAAAUAUUUAUGGCCAAGUUUUUCAGACCUUUCACAUAUUGACAAGUUUGAUUUCACAAUAUUUUUAAAAAUGACAUUCAUCAGGCCCACCACCCAUCUCCUCAAAAAUGGUCUGUCUCAGAGUUCCCCUGUGGUGCAGUGGGUUAAGGAUCCAGCAUUGUCACCACAGGGGCUUGGGUCGCUGCUGUGGCUUGGGUUCCAUCCCUGGCUCAGGAAUUUCUGCAUGCCAUGGGAGUUGCAAAAAAAAAAAAAAA
Molecule: long non-coding RNA, 930 nt
Filed under: Sus scrofa (pig)
Lineage: Eukaryota; Metazoa; Chordata; Mammalia; Artiodactyla; Suidae
Description: lncRNA (ENSSSCG00055026040.1)
Source: RNAcentral